Myotis davidii is the source of this 422-nucleotide long non-coding RNA. RefSeq lists it as uncharacterized. The record is from RefSeq and is a predicted model, not a curated record. The transcript is spliced from 3 exons. Lineage: Eukaryota; Metazoa; Chordata; Mammalia; Chiroptera; Vespertilionidae.
UCUGACCGGCCCCCCUGAGCGCGUGCCCCCCGCCCGCAGGACCCGACAGCCCGGUGUCCCCGCUGAAGGAGCUGAAGGAGGUGAAGGAGCUGACGCACGCCGUGCGCAGGCAGCAGCGGGCCCUGGAGCAGCGCCUGGAGGCCUGCCUGGAGGAGCUGAGGAGGCUCUGCUUGCGGGAGGCGGAGCUGACGGGCGUCCUGCCCGCCGAGUACCCCCUCAAACCUGGGGAGACGGCCCCCAAGGUCCGCCGCAGGGUCGGGGCGGCGUAUAAGCUGGACGAGCAGGCCCUGCAGGGAGAGGACCCCCUGAGCAGCCUGGAGCAGGAGCUGGCCCUGCAGCUGCAAAUCUCAGAGGCCUGCCUGGAGGAGGAGGCUAUUCUCUGUGACUCCAGGGCCCCUCCUCCUAGGCCUCCUGCGUCCCAA